Molecule: ribosomal RNA, 478 nt
Filed under: uncultured bacterium
Lineage: Bacteria
Description: partial 16S ribosomal RNA
Rfam family: Bacterial small subunit ribosomal RNA
Source: RNAcentral
GACGAACGCUGGCGGCGUGCUUAACGCAUGCAAGUCGAACGGUAAGGCCCUUCGGGGUACACGAGUGGCGAACGGGUGAGUAACACGUGGGUGAUCUGCCCUGCACUUCGGGAUAAGCCUGGGACACUGGGUCUAAUACCGGAUAGGACUCCGGACUGCAUGGUCUGGGGUGGAAAGCUUUUGCGGUGUGGGAUGGGCCCGCGGCCUAUGAGCUUGUUGGUGGGGUGAUGGCCUACCAAGGCGACGACGGGUAGCCUGCCUCAGAGGGUGACCGGCCACACUAGAACUGGGAUACGGCCCGGACUCAUACGGGAGGCAACGAUCAGGAAGAUCGCGGAGUGCGCGCAAGAAUGAUGCAGCCACGCCGCGUGAGGGAUGACGGCCAUCGAGUUGUAAACCUAUUUCAGCAACGACGAAGCGAAAGUGACGGUAGGUGCAGCAAAAGGACCCGACAACUACGUGCCAGCAGCCGUAGUAA